Cavia porcellus (domestic guinea pig) is the source of this 72-nucleotide transfer RNA. It matches the Rfam family "tRNA". Rfam says of the family: Transfer RNA (tRNA) molecules are approximately 80 nucleotides in length. Their secondary structure includes four short double-helical elements and three loops (D, anti-codon, and T loops). Further hydrogen bonds mediate the characteristic L-shaped molecular structure. tRNAs have two regions of fundamental functional importance: the anti-codon, which is responsible for specific mRNA codon recognition, and the 3' end, to which the tRNAs corresponding amino acid is attached (by aminoacyl-tRNA synthetases). tRNAs cope with the degeneracy of the genetic code in two manners: having more than one tRNA (with a specific anti-codon) for a particular amino acid; and 'wobble' base-pairing, i.e. permitting non-standard base-pairing at the 3rd anti-codon position. Lineage: Eukaryota; Metazoa; Chordata; Mammalia; Rodentia; Caviidae. The record is from Rfam.
GGGGAUAUAGUUCAGUGGCACAGUGUCUGCCUGGCAAGCGCAAGGUCCUGAGUUCAAUUCCCAGUGCCACCA